GAUGAACGCUGGCGGCGUGCUUAACACAUGCAAGUCGAACGUGAUCCAUUAGCAAUAGUGGUGAAAGUGGCGAACGGGUGAGUAACACGUAGGUAACCUGCCCCAAAGCGGGGGAUAACGACUGGAAACGGUCGCUAAUACCGCAUAAGCCCAUUGAAGCGGGAGUGAGAUGGGGAAAAUUCUGGUGCUUUGGGAGGGGCCUGCGUCCGAUUAGCUAGUUGGUGAGGUAACGGCUCACCAAGGCGACGAUCGGUAGCUGGUCUGAGAGGACGAUCAGCCACACGGGAACUGAGACACGGUCCCGACUCCUACGGGGGGCAGCAGUGAGGAAUAUUGGGCAAUGGGCGCAAGCCUGACCCAGCAACGCCGCGUGAAGGAAGAAGGCCUUCGGGUUGUAAACUUCUUUUAUGGGGGAAGAG
RNAcentral lists this ribosomal RNA (419 nucleotides) under uncultured Caldilinea sp. RNAcentral describes it as "bacterial SSU rRNA". It matches the Rfam family "Bacterial small subunit ribosomal RNA", at positions 28 to 449 of the family's 1533-position model. The record is from RNAcentral. Lineage: Bacteria; Bacillati; Chloroflexota; Caldilineae; Caldilineales; Caldilineaceae.